Long non-coding RNA from Polypterus senegalus (gray bichir), 1330 nucleotides. RefSeq lists it as uncharacterized. The transcript has 3 exons. Lineage: Eukaryota; Metazoa; Chordata; Cladistia; Polypteriformes; Polypteridae. The record is from RefSeq and is a predicted model, not a curated record.
UUCUGCUGCUGAUCUUCUCGUUGAACGCUACACCAGCGACAUUUCACCGGCGUUUUGCUCUCAAUUGUUGUCAUUUCAUUGCAUGUUUUCAAUCCAUCUUGUCAACCAAGUCGACUGUUUUUUGAAGUAGCUGAACUGUGGCUGACAGAUCACUGUGCACCGUCGUCUACUUUCAGUGACAUCUGCACGGCUUACAUGUUACUGCCGACUACGCCAGUGACUGUUGCUGUGUCUGAACGAUCGUUCUUCAAGUUAAAACCCAUCAAAAAUGACCUCAGAAGCACCAGGUCACAAGACAGACUUAGUGGCUCGGCUGGACUCUCAAUCUAAAACGAGCACGCCAGACAACCCGACGGGUCAAACAAUGGUACAUGGAAUGGACUCCCCAACACUUCAUCUUGGUUUUUGUUGUUUCACCUUACGCAGUGCAUCCUGGGCCUGCCUGACCAUUCUGCUGUCCUGGAAGUGACAACACGCUGGAAACCCGCUGUCUCUCGUGGUGGAAGGACUUGUGGAACAGCCAUACUGGCAUCCUCCUUGGACCCACGAGGCAAAAGGUAAUCCACUUACUCAUAAAGAGCUAGUAGACAUUAAUGAAAAGUCUAAGCAAACGUAAUGUAUGACAUGUCAGCACGCCGACCAUUCACGUCUUCAACCCUAACCCUAUUCAAAACAAAUGUGUCACUUAAUGUUUACAUAGUGUGGGCCACCAGGGGGCGUACAGCUCCCCAAACCCCGGGCACGACAGACACAGAGCCCAGUCUUAUCACACAGCACGCCUUUAUUUCACCUUUUUAUUUCCUUUAUUUUCUGUUGCUCCCCACAACACAGCACAGUAUAAGCACCAAAUAACACUCUUCUUCUUGUCUCUUGUCCGACUCCACUCUUCCUCACAAGCUUUCUCCUCCUCCUCCCGACUGAGGCUCGCCCCUGUGAGGCUGGCAAGUCCUUUUAUGUCGGCCAACCCUCUUGCGCCCACGUGGUCAGCCAGCACUUCCUGGUGAGGCGGAAACCUCAAGCCAAUAUGGCGCCUCCAUUUUUACAGCACCCCAUGGCGGCACCCACAGUACCCUAUGUAACCGACUCGACUCUGCUUUUUCCUGCGUUGUGUAAAUAAUUAUCACGUAGGCACGUUGAGUUAGAACACGAGCUUUUAUUUUCCUCCUUCAGUAAACCCCCUUUGCAAAACAAAAGAAAUAGACAGAGCGUCACAUAUACGUCUUCUUCCCUCUGCCCACACAGCGUCCACGACGCUUCUCGCGUUAUUAUUUAUAUAAACACAUUACAUAUAAAACUAUUUACAAUAAAAUUACUCCAAUUUUCCAAAGAA